GGAAUUUUGGACAAUGGGGGCAACCCUGAUCCAGCAAUGCCGCGUGAGUGAAGAAGGCCUUCGGGUUGUAAAGCUCUUUUGUCAGGGAAGAAACAGCAGCUCUAACACAGUCUGCGAAUGACGGUACCUGAAGAAUAAGCACCGGCUAACUACGUGCCAGCAGCCGCGGUAAUACGUAGGGUGCGAGCGUUAAUCGGAAUUACUGGGCGUAAAGCGUGCGCAGGCGGUUAUACAAGACAGGCGUGAAAUCCCCGGGCUUAACCUGGGAAUGGCGUCUGUGACUGUAUAGCUAGAGUGUGUCAGAGGGGGGUGGAAUUCCACGUGUAGCAGUGAAAUGCGUAGAUAUGUGGAGGAACACCAAUGGCGAAGGCAGCCCCCUGGGAUAACACUGACGCUCAUGCACGAAAGCGUGGGGAGCAAACAGGAUUAGAUACCCUGGUAGUCCACGCCCUAAACGAUGCUGACUAGUUGUUGGGAAUUUACAUUCUCAGUAACGUAGCUAACGCGUGAAGUCAGCCGCCUGGGGAGUACGGUCGCAAGAUUAAAACUCAAAUGAAUUGACGG
This 564-nucleotide ribosomal RNA is filed under the name uncultured bacterium. Its description in RNAcentral is "bacterial SSU rRNA". It matches the Rfam family "Bacterial small subunit ribosomal RNA", at positions 358 to 916 of the family's 1533-position model. The record is from RNAcentral.